ACUCCUACGGGAGGCAGCAGUGGGGAAUAUUGGACAAUGGGGCACCGUAGCAUCCAGCGAUGCGCGUGAGUGAUGAAGGCCCUAGGGUUGUAAAGCUCUUUCAGUCGUGAAGAUAAUGACGGUAGCGACAGAAGAAGCCCCGGCUAACUCCGUGCCAGCAGCCGCGGUAAUACGGAGGGCGUAGCGUUGUUCGGAAUUACUGGGCGUAAAGCGCGCGUAGGCGGACCGGAAAGUU
RNAcentral lists this ribosomal RNA (235 nucleotides) under uncultured bacterium. RNAcentral describes it as "partial 16S ribosomal RNA". It matches the Rfam family "Bacterial small subunit ribosomal RNA", at positions 335 to 589 of the family's 1533-position model. The record is from RNAcentral.